Molecule: ribosomal RNA, 858 nt
Filed under: uncultured Corynebacterium sp.
Lineage: Bacteria; Bacillati; Actinomycetota; Actinomycetes; Mycobacteriales; Corynebacteriaceae
Description: bacterial SSU rRNA
Rfam family: Bacterial small subunit ribosomal RNA
Source: RNAcentral
GCUUAACACAUGCAAGUCGAACGGAAAGGCCCUGCUUGCGGGGUACUCGAGUGGCGAACGGGUGAGUAACACGUGGGUGAUCUGCCCUGCACUUCGGGAUAAGCUUGGGAAACUGGGUCUAAUACCGGAUAGGACCGCACUUUAGUGUGUGUGGUGGAAAGUUUUUUCGGUGUAGGAUGAGCUCGCGGCCUAUCAGCUUGUUGGUGGGGUAAUGGCCUACCAAGGCGUCGACGGGUAGCCGGCCUGAGAGGGUGUACGGCCACAUUGGGACUGAGAUACGGCCCAGACUCCUACGGGAGGCAGCAGUGGGGAAUAUUGCACAAUGGGCGCAAGCCUGAUGCAGCGACGCCGCGUGGGGGAUGAAGGCCUUCGGGUUGUAAACUCCUUUCGCUAGGGACGAAGCUUUUGUGACGGUACCUAGAUAAGAAGCACCGGCUAACUACGUGCCAGCAGCCGCGGUAAUACGUAGGGUGCGAGCGUUGUCCGGAAUUACUGGGCGUAAAGGGCUCGUAGGUGGUUUGUCGCGUCGUCUGUGAAAUUCUGGGGCUUAACUCCGGGCGUGCAGGCGAUACGGGCAUAACUUGAGUGCUGUAGGGGUAACUGGAAUUCCUGGUGUAGCGGUGAAAUGCGCAGAUAUCAGGAGGAACACCGAUGGCGAAGGCAGGUUACUGGGCAGUUACUGACGCUGAGGAGCGAAAGCAUGGGUAGCGAACAGGAUUAGAUACCCUGGUAGUCCAUGCUGUAAACGGUGGGCGCUAGGUGUGAGGGUUUUUCUACGAUUCUCGUGCCGUAGCUAACGCAUUAAGCGCCCCGCCUGGGGAGUACGGCCGCAAGGCUAAAACUCAAAUGAAUUGACGG